GUGGUUAAAAGUAAUUGAAGAAUGCUUUGUUAAGGCAAUUAACAAAAGUUGAUCGAGCACUGAAGAGUAAACGUCCACAAAGCAGGCUAGAAAAAGUAAGUGAACCUUUGAAUUUAAUAACCUGUAGAUCCCUCUUUAGCAGAAAUCAGAACAGCAACUCAGAACAUUGCAAUGAUUAACCCUAACAAUGAUUAAUCCACACAAAGAUGUGCUGAAAUGUUUUGUAGAGGCUUUGGAUCAGUUCAAUAAUGAGAUAAAGGGUGCAUAUGAUUUUAAUUUUAAAUCACUGAAUUUUCAGAAAGAAUCUCCAGUCUCCAGGUGAUGGGAUUAAAACAUCUGAUCUUUCUAAGGUGGAGUUUCACAUCUUAACGUCAUCUCCACACUCCUCUCUAAUUAUGUAAUCCAGCAACGCAAACAGAUCAAAUUGCAUUUGUUAAGAGAUAAGGCUGAUUUUAGUUGCUGUUAGAUUACAUUUAUUUUGCUUUUUAUACUUUUUUCACAACAAGUUAAUGUAAUUGUGCAAAUUAUUUGUGUUACCCUCAUUUUCACCUUAAAUAAAACAUAAAAUGUU
Long non-coding RNA from Astyanax mexicanus (Mexican tetra), 571 nucleotides. RefSeq lists it as uncharacterized. The transcript is spliced from 2 exons. NCBI's taxonomy places the organism in Eukaryota, Metazoa, Chordata, Actinopteri, Characiformes, Acestrorhamphidae. The record is from RefSeq and is a predicted model, not a curated record.